RNAcentral lists this ribosomal RNA (495 nucleotides) under uncultured bacterium. RNAcentral's name for it is "partial 16S ribosomal RNA". It matches the Rfam family "Bacterial small subunit ribosomal RNA", at positions 28 to 507 of the family's 1533-position model. The record is from RNAcentral.
GACGAACGCUGGCGGCGUGCCUAAUACAUGCAAGUAGAACGCUGAAGGAGGAGCUUGCUCUUCUGGAUGAGUUGCGAACGGGUGAGUAACGCGUAGGUAACCUGCCUGGUAGCGGGGGAUAACUAUUGGAAACGAUAGCUAAUACCGCAUAACAGUAGAUGUUGCAUGACAUUUACUUAAAAGGUGCAAUUGCAUCACUACCAGAUGGACCUGCGUUGUAUUAGCUAGUUGGUGGGGUAACGGCUCACCAAGGCGACGAUACAUAGCCGACCUGAGAGGGUGAUCGGCCACACUGGGACUGAGACACGGCCCAGACUCCUACGGGAGGCAGCAGUAGGGAAUCUUCGGCAAUGGACGGAAGUCUGACCGAGCAACGCCGCGUGAGUGAAGAAGGGUUUCGGACCGUAAAGCUCUGUUGUAAGAGAAGAACGAGUGUGAGAGUGGAAAGUUCACACUGUGACGGUAUCUUACCAGAAAGGGACGGCUAACUACGUG